GACGGAGGAUGCAAGUGUUAUCCGGAAUCACUGGGCGUAAAGCGUCUGUAGGUGGUCAAAUAAGUCAACUGUUAAAUCUUGAGGCUCAACCUCAAAACCGCAGUCGAAACUAUUAGUCUAGAGUAUAGUAGGGGUAAAGGGAAUUUCCAGUGGAGCGGUGAAAUGCGUAGAGAUUGGAAAGAACACCGAUGGCGAAGGCACUUUACUGGGCUAUUACUAACACUCAGAGACGAAAGCUAGGGUAGCAAAUGGG
Molecule: ribosomal RNA, 253 nt
Filed under: uncultured bacterium
Lineage: Bacteria
Description: partial 16S ribosomal RNA
Rfam family: Bacterial small subunit ribosomal RNA
Source: RNAcentral